AAAAAGACCGUGUCAAUUGUGUUUCAUCACUUCCAAAUACUUUAAUAUUCUUUCAUAUUCAAUCACAAACAUGGAUGUAACUUGCUACAGAUUCCUUUGACUUCUGGAAAUACACAGAAAAAUUCCAGUACCAGUGAAAAAGGCCAUAAUUCCCAAAUGUUGAUGCCCUGUAAAUACAGUUAUCAUUGCAAGGCACCUGACAGAUUGUGUAGGCAGAGGAGGGAAGGGGGCACCACACUGUGCUGGCAGAUCCCCAGUCAUUACAAAAACAAGAGAUGCCUGGCAACUGAAAGAAAUCAAUGCAAAUUUGCUCAUAAAUGGUUAGCAGAAUAGCCACUACUUCACUGAUUAAAUCUUCAGCUAACUAACAGGCAAAAUUCAAAAGUUAAUGGAAACUUCAUAUUGUUGCUAUGUAAAAUUAUCUCCAUGCUGUUUUCAAGCUGCUGUGUGUUCUGGUGAAGACCUGCUUUGUCUCUCAGAGCCUGUUGCCAUGGAAGUGACUGAAAUAUUGCUAGUUAAGCAAUAGCCUCUAUUUUCUAAACAAAUAAGCAGCUUCCUUCUGCAGAGGGCUGUAAGUGGGCCUUGUGCUACUCUCAAGUGUGCAUUGCACUUGUCAAACGCUUUUAAGCACCGAGCUCAGCUCUAAGCAAGCAGGUCACCUAACAGGAAGGACCAGUUAGAAGGUGUUGCCUUGUGUGGGCAGAAGGGAUCUCAAGUUUCACACUUGAGAAGUAUUUCCAAAUCACAUCAGGUCAACCCUCACUUCUGCUGCAUACUGGCAAAAAAGGUUCAUGGCAAACAUUGAGAAGUGGAGAAACCAUGCAAGUUUCAACUCAGGCCAAGCUUAAGUCCAAAAGUCCAGACAGAUGACAUAGCCCCAUGACCAAAAAUGAUGAAGCAAAAGAAGGCACAAUAUUCAAAUGGCAAACUGCUUUUGCCUGUGUGAUAGAAGCAUGAUAAGACUUUGUCUGCUUGGAGAAGACAUGGCAAGACCACCACACUGCAGAGGAGGAACAGUUUGCAGGCAGCCCCAAAGAGUGCUCUGGGAGAGAAGCUGAAGAUUUGAACAGUGUUCCAAGACAGCUCAGCAUCACACAGGUCAGGAUUGAAUGAUUCAGAAGGAAUAGCUUCGGACAGUAUCUAAUCUACUUUUUGGACUGCAUAAUAGAAGUGUGACACCCAGAAAUGAUGGACAGAAACUACUGUCUGUCUAGUUAAAUAGUUGAUUCUACCUGUCUUUCCUCUGUAUCAUUGUACUAUUACAUGGAUCAAGAUCAGAAAAGUUUAGAAUUUUUCUCAUUUCAUUAAUGUAAUUUUGUCAAAAUGAUAUUUUUGGGGGUUUUAACUACUAAUUGAACAUGCAUAGUCAUAAAAAAAAUCCAGAAGAAAGAAAAAACCCCUUAUUUUUACCACUUUUUAACCAUUGCUCUUUUACUAUUUCCUAAUUCUACAUAAAAUUUAGUAAUUCACUCCAUAAUCAGGUCACCCAAUUUGGAGAUGUAAUGUUUCUAUUAACUGCAGAAUACAGCACUGUGUAAAUGUUUGCAGGCUUCUAGAAGAGCUGAGAUGACCAAAAAACGCUCAGACUUAAACAGUUCAUUGGCUCAGUGCUUCUAAUGGUUUUAUAUAAUAUUAUUUUUCCUUUUUUAAGUGAACUUCAAACCUUUCCAAAGAUGCCUGGAAAAUGGAGGAUGCUAAGAAAACUUAACCUUAUCUUUGUUAAAAUGCUGUCUGCACCAGCACAUUGCAUCAUAAUAGGUUCUGAACUUGAAAAUUUGCAUUCACUGUCAUGACACCAAAUUCAAUUUUGUGCUCAGUUUGGACAAGGACCUAUCUGCCAGUGACUGACCUCCCAUCAGCUGUCCAUGGCUAAAGCAAACACAAGUCAGCGUUAC
This is a long non-coding RNA of Prinia subflava (tawny-flanked prinia), 1895 nucleotides long. RefSeq lists it as uncharacterized. The record is from RefSeq and is a predicted model, not a curated record. NCBI's taxonomy places the organism in Eukaryota, Metazoa, Chordata, Aves, Passeriformes, Cisticolidae. The transcript has 3 exons.